AACGAACGUUAGCGGCGCGCUUAACACAUGCAAGUCGAGCGAGAAAGGGCUUCGGCCCCAGUACAGCGGCGCACGGGUGAGUAACACGCGGGUAAUCUACCCCUGAGUGGUGGAUAACCCUCCGAAAGGAGGGCUAAUACAGCAUAAGACCACGGCGUCCUCGGAUGUCGCGGCCAAAGCGGGCCUCUUCAUGAAAGCUCGUGCUCGGGGAUGAGCCCGCGGCCCAUCAGCUUGUUGGCGAGGUAAAAGCUCACCAAGGCAAAGACGGGUAGCUGGUCUGAGAGGAUGGCCAGCCACAUCGGGACUGAGACACGGCCCGGACUCCUACGGGAGGCAGCAGUCGGGAAUAUUGGACAAUGGGCGCAAGCCUGAUCCAGCAAUACCGCGUGUGUGAAGAAGGCCUGCGGGUUGUAAAGCACUUUCAGUUGGGAAGAUAAUGACGUUACCAACAGAAGAAGCACCGGCUAACUCCGUGCCAGCAGCCGCGGUAAAGUG
This 495-nucleotide ribosomal RNA is filed under the name uncultured bacterium. RNAcentral describes it as "bacterial SSU rRNA". It matches the Rfam family "Bacterial small subunit ribosomal RNA", at positions 29 to 527 of the family's 1533-position model. The record is from RNAcentral.